CGGUACCGUCAAUCAUCUCGGCUAUUCACCGGACAACCUUCGUCCCAUCUGAAAGAGGUUUACAACCCUAAGGCCGUCUUCCCUCACGCGGUGUUGCUGCGUCACGCUUUCGCGCAUUGCGCAAGAUUCCCCA
This 133-nucleotide ribosomal RNA is filed under the name uncultured bacterium. RNAcentral's name for it is "partial 16S ribosomal RNA". The record is from RNAcentral.